This 72-nucleotide transfer RNA is filed under the name Cavia porcellus (domestic guinea pig). It matches the Rfam family "tRNA". Rfam says of the family: Transfer RNA (tRNA) molecules are approximately 80 nucleotides in length. Their secondary structure includes four short double-helical elements and three loops (D, anti-codon, and T loops). Further hydrogen bonds mediate the characteristic L-shaped molecular structure. tRNAs have two regions of fundamental functional importance: the anti-codon, which is responsible for specific mRNA codon recognition, and the 3' end, to which the tRNAs corresponding amino acid is attached (by aminoacyl-tRNA synthetases). tRNAs cope with the degeneracy of the genetic code in two manners: having more than one tRNA (with a specific anti-codon) for a particular amino acid; and 'wobble' base-pairing, i.e. permitting non-standard base-pairing at the 3rd anti-codon position. Lineage: Eukaryota; Metazoa; Chordata; Mammalia; Rodentia; Caviidae. The record is from Rfam by way of RNAcentral.
UGGGAUGUAGCUCAGUGGGAGAAUUCUUGCCUUGCAUGUAUGAGGUCUUGGGUUCAAUCCCCAGCAUCACAG